GUGGGGAAUAUUGCACAAUGGGGGAAACCCUGAUGCAGCGACGCCGCGUGGAGGAUGACGGCCUUCGGGUUGUAAACUCCUUUUGUCAGGGACAAUGGUGAUGGUACCUGACGAAUAAGCCACGGCUAACUCUGUGCCAGCAGCCGCGGUAAGACAGAGGUGGCGAGCGUUGUUCGGAAUUACUGGGCUUAAAGGGCGCGUAGGCGGUGGUGUAAGUCUGGGGUGGAAUGCUACAGCUCAACUGUAGAGCUGCCUUGGAAACUGCAUUACUUGAGUCGGUGAGGGGAAGGCGGAAUUCCUGGUGUAGCGGUGAAAUGCGUAGAUAUCAGGAGGAAGGUCUGUGGCGAAGGCGGCCUUCUGGCACUUGACUGACGCUGAGGCGCGAAAGCGUGGGGAGCAAACAGGAUUAGAUACCCCAGUAGUCC
RNAcentral lists this ribosomal RNA (425 nucleotides) under uncultured bacterium. RNAcentral's name for it is "partial 16S ribosomal RNA". It matches the Rfam family "Bacterial small subunit ribosomal RNA", at positions 354 to 796 of the family's 1533-position model. The record is from RNAcentral.